RNAcentral lists this ribosomal RNA (578 nucleotides) under uncultured bacterium. Its description in RNAcentral is "bacterial SSU rRNA". It matches the Rfam family "Bacterial small subunit ribosomal RNA", at positions 338 to 916 of the family's 1533-position model. The record is from RNAcentral.
CCUACGGGAGGCAGCAGUAGGGAAUAUUGGUCAAUGGACGAAAGUCUGAACCAGCCAUCCCGCGUGCAGGACGACGGCCCUAUGGGUUGUAAACUGCUUUUAUACAGGAAGAAUAAGCCUUACGUGUAAGGUGAUGACGGUACUGUAAGAAUAAGGAUCGGCUAACUCCGUGCCAGCAGCCGCGGUAAUACGGAGGAUCCAAGCGUUGUCCGGAUUUAUUGGGUUUAAAGGGUGCGUAGGCGGUUUGUUAAGUCAGUGGUGAAAGUUUGCGGCUUAACCGUAAAAUUGCCAUUGAAACUGACAGACUUGAAUUUGGUUGAGGUUGCCGGAAUGUGUCAUGUAGCGGUGAAAUGCUUAGAUAUGAUACAGAACACCAAUUGCGAAGGCAGGUAACUAAACCAAUAUUGACGCUGAGGCACGAAAGCGUGGGGAUCAAACAGGAUUAGAUACCCUGGUAGUCCACGCCCUAAACGUUGAUUACUCGUUGUUGGCGAUACACUGUCAGCGACUAAGCGAAAGCGUUAAGUAAUCCACCUGGGGAGUACGACCGCAAGGUUGAAACUCAAAGGAAUUGACGG